Molecule: ribosomal RNA, 357 nt
Filed under: Triticum aestivum (bread wheat)
Lineage: Eukaryota; Viridiplantae; Streptophyta; Magnoliopsida; Poales; Poaceae
Description: partial small subunit ribosomal RNA
Source: RNAcentral
AAGGAGCUACUGGUGGGUUCAGAAAAUGGGAAACGAAGGACGCACUGGAUUGCAUGGGAGAAAUUACUACGCCCAAAGAAUCAAGGUGGCCUGGGUUUCCGAGAUAUGAGGCUUUUUAACCAAGCUCUAUUAGCUCGUCAAGCAUGGCGUUUAAUUGGUAGACCUGAGAGUCUAUGCACGAGCCUACUUAAAGCGAGAUACUAUAGACACGGCAAUCUAAUUGACACUGUCUUCACAGGCAAUGCGUCUCCUGUAUGGCGAGGAAUUGAGCAUGGGCUGGAAUUGUUGAAGCAAGGCAUUAUAUGGAGAAUUGGUAAUGGUAAAAAAGUCAGGGUUUGGAGGGACCCGUGGUUACCA